GAUGAACGCUGGCGGCGUGCCUAAUACAUGCCAGUCGAGCGAACGGACGAGAAGCUUGCUUCUCUGAUGUUAGCGGCGGACGGGUGAGUAACACGUGGAUAACCUACCUAUAAGACUGGGAUAACUUCGGGAAACCGGAGCUAAUACCGGAUAAUAUUUUGAACCGCAUGGUUCAAAAGUGAAAGACGGUCUUGCUGUCACUUAUAGAUGGAUCCGCGCUGCAUUAGCUAGUUGGUAAGGUAACGGCUUACCAAGGCAACGAUGCAUAGCCGACCUGAGAGGGUGAUCGGCCACACUGGAACUGAGACACGGUCCAGACUUCUACGGGAGGCAGCAGUAGGGAAUCUUCCGCAAUGGGCGAAAGCCUGACGGAGCAACGCCGCGUGAGUGAUGAAGGUCUUCGGAUCGUAAAACUCUGUUAUUAGGGAAGAACAUAUGUGUAAGUAACUGUGCACAUCUUGACGGUACCUAAUCAGAAAGCCACGGCUAACUACGUG
This 497-nucleotide ribosomal RNA is filed under the name uncultured bacterium. RNAcentral's name for it is "partial 16S ribosomal RNA". It matches the Rfam family "Bacterial small subunit ribosomal RNA", at positions 28 to 507 of the family's 1533-position model. The record is from RNAcentral.